GGCCUGGUAGCAUAGUGGCUAAUGCGCUGGACUGUCUCUCCAGUUAUCGUGGGUUCGAGUCCCAUCCAGGUCGCCA
This 76-nucleotide transfer RNA is filed under the name Erysipelotrichia bacterium. RNAcentral's name for it is "tRNA-Asp". It matches the Rfam family "tRNA". Rfam says of the family: Transfer RNA (tRNA) molecules are approximately 80 nucleotides in length. The record is from RNAcentral. Lineage: Bacteria; Bacillati; Bacillota; Erysipelotrichia.